This 480-nucleotide ribosomal RNA is filed under the name uncultured bacterium. RNAcentral describes it as "partial 16S ribosomal RNA". It matches the Rfam family "Bacterial small subunit ribosomal RNA", at positions 28 to 523 of the family's 1533-position model. The record is from RNAcentral.
GACGAACGCUGGCGGCGUGCUUAACACAUGCAAGUCGAGCGAUGAAGCACCUUCGGGUGUGGAUUAGCGGCGAACGGGUGAGGAACACGUGAGGAAUCUGCCUUUCACUUCGGGAUAACUCCGGGAAACCGGGGCUAAUACCGGAUAUUUUCAACUGGCGGCAUCGCCGGUUGAAGAAAGUUUUUCGGUGAAAGAUAACCGCGCGGCCUAUCAGCUUGUUGGUGAGGUAAUGGCUCACCAAGGAGACGACGGGUAGCCGGCCUGAGAGGGCGACAGGCCACACUGGGACUGAGACACGGCCCAGACUCCUACGGGAGGCAGCAGUGGGGAAUAUUGGGCAAUGGAGGAAACUCUGACCCAGCGACGCCGCGUGAGGGAUGAAGGCCUUCGGGUUGUAAACCUCUUUCAGCAGGGAAUAAGCGAAAGUGAAGGUACCUGCAGAAGAAGCACCGGCUAACUAUGUGCCAGCCGCCGCGGUAA